This 28-nucleotide non-coding RNA is filed under the name Mus musculus (house mouse). The record is from RNAcentral. Lineage: Eukaryota; Metazoa; Chordata; Mammalia; Rodentia; Muridae.
CACAGGGUCACGCUUAAACAUGCAGGUA